UCCCUGGAGGACUAGUGGUUAGAACUCGGUGCUCUCAGCGCAGUGGCACGGGUUUGAUUCCCGGCCAGGGAA
Molecule: transfer RNA, 72 nt
Filed under: Pangasianodon hypophthalmus (striped catfish)
Lineage: Eukaryota; Metazoa; Chordata; Actinopteri; Siluriformes; Pangasiidae
Description: tRNA-Glu
Source: RNAcentral